CCGGGUUGCGGACAGUGUCUGGUGGGUAGUUUGACUGGGGCGGUCUCCUCCUAAAGAGUAACGGAGGAGCACGAAGGUUGGCUAAUCCUGGUCGGACAUCAGGAGGUUAGUGCAAUGGCAUAAGCCAGCUUGACUGCGAGCGUGACGGCGCGAGCAGGUGCGAAAGCAGGUCAUAGUGAUCCGGUGGUUCUGAAUGGAAGGGCCAUCGCUCAACGGAUAAAAGGUACUCCGGGGAUAACAGGCUGAUACCGCCCAAGAGUUCAUAUCGACGGCGGUGUUUGGCACCUCGAUGUCGGCUCAUCACAUCCUGGGGCUGAAGUAGGUCCCAAGGGUAUGGCUGUUCGCCAUUUAAAGUGGUA
This 359-nucleotide ribosomal RNA is filed under the name Salmonella enterica subsp. enterica serovar Kentucky. Its description in RNAcentral is "partial 23S ribosomal RNA". It matches the Rfam family "Bacterial large subunit ribosomal RNA", at positions 2240 to 2598 of the family's 2925-position model. The record is from RNAcentral. Lineage: Bacteria; Pseudomonadati; Pseudomonadota; Gammaproteobacteria; Enterobacterales; Enterobacteriaceae.